RNAcentral lists this ribosomal RNA (633 nucleotides) under uncultured organism. Its description in RNAcentral is "bacterial SSU rRNA". It matches the Rfam family "Bacterial small subunit ribosomal RNA", at positions 808 to 1434 of the family's 1533-position model. The record is from RNAcentral.
GAUGGGCACUAGAUAUCGGGGAAUUCGACUUCUUCGCGUCUCGCAGUUAACGCGAUAAGUGCCCCGCCUGGGGAGUACGCCCGCAAGGCUGAAACUCAAAGGAAUUGACGGGGGCCCGCACAAGCGCUGGAGCAUGCGCUUUAAUUCGAUGCAACGCGAAGAACCUUACCUGGGUUUGACAUGGGAGUGAAAGUUCCUAGAGAUAGGAACCUUUCCUUCGGGAACACUCCACACAGGUGCUGCAUGCUUGUCGUCAGCUCGUGUCGUGAGAUCUUGGGUUAAGUCCCGCAACGAGCGCAACCCUCGCCCUUAGUUGCCAUCAGGUAAUGCUGGGAACUCUAGGGGGACCGCCUGGAACAACCAGGAGCCACCUGGGGAUGAUGUCAAAUCAUCAUGGCUCUUACGUCCAGGGCUAGACGCGUGCUACAAUGGUCGGUACAGAAGGAUGCCAAGUCGUGAGACCGAGCUAAUCCAUGAAAACCGGCCUCAGUUCGGAUUGGAGUCUGCAAUUCGACUCCAUGAAGGUGGAAUCGCUAGUAAUCGCGGAUCAGCAUCCCGCGCUGAAUAUGUUCCCGGGCAUUGUACACACCGCCCGUCAAGCCACGAAAGAUGGGAGUACCCGAAGUCGCUUGC